RNAcentral lists this ribosomal RNA (1539 nucleotides) under Rhodococcus sp. BP-357. Its description in RNAcentral is "partial 23S ribosomal RNA". It matches the Rfam family "Bacterial large subunit ribosomal RNA", at positions 1395 to 2817 of the family's 2925-position model. Lineage: Bacteria; Bacillati; Actinomycetota; Actinomycetes; Mycobacteriales; Nocardiaceae. The record is from RNAcentral.
GGCGAGGCCGACAGGCGUAGUCGAUGGACAACGGGUUGAUAUUCCCGUACCCGUGUAUCCGCGCCCAUGAUGAAUCAGGAGUACUAACCGUCCAGAGCCACCAGGAGCACCUUCGGGUGCCGGGUGUGGUGAUGCACGGGACCUUUCCUGGUAGUAGUCAAGCGAUGGGGUGACGCAGGAAGGUAGCUGAGCCAGUCAGUGGUAACACUGGUGUAAGCCUGUAGGGCGAGACCUAGGCAAAUCCGGGUCUCACAUAAGCCUGAGAGGUGAUGCAUAGCCGAAUGAGGCGAAUUCAGUGAUCCUAUGCUGCCGAGAAAAGCCUCUAGCGAGCUGGUACACGGCCCGUACCCCAAACCGACACAGGUGAUCAGGUAGAGAAUACCAAGGCGAUCGAGAUAACUAUGGUUAAGGAACUCGGCAAAAUGCCCCCGUAACUUCGGGAGAAGGGGGACCCCUGCUGGUGAUCACUCUUGCAGUGUGAGCUGGUGUGGGUCGCAGAGACCAGUGAGAAGCGACUGUUUACUAAAAACACAGGUCCGUGCGAAGUCGUAAGACGAUGUAUACGGACUGACGCCUGCCCGGUGCUGGAAGGUUAAGAGGACCGGUUAGUUCCUUCGGGAGCGAAGCUGAGAAUUUAAGCCCCAGUAAACGGCGGUGGUAACUAUAACCAUCCUAAGGUAGCGAAAUUCCUUGUCGGGUAAGUUCCGACCUGCACGAAUGGCGUAACGACUUCUCAGCUGUCUCAACCAUAGACUCGGCGAAAUUGCAUUACGAGUAAAGAUGCUCGUUACGCGCGGCAGGACGAAAAGACCCCGGGACCUUCACUACAGCUUGGUAUUGGUGUUCGGUUCGGUUUGUGUAGGAUAGGUGGGAGACUGUGAAGCAUGCACGCCAGUGUGUGUGGAGUCGUUGUUGAAAUACCACUCUGAUCGUAUUGGAUACCUCAACCUCGGACCAUGAUCUGGUUCAGGGACAGUGCCUGGUGGGUAGUUUAACUGGGGCGGUUGCCUCCCAAAAUGUAACGGAGGCGCCCAAAGGUUCCCUCAGCCUGGUUGGCAAUCAGGUGUCGAGUGCAAGUGCACAAGGGAGCUUGACUGUGAGACUGACAAGUCGAGCAGGGACGAAAGUCGGGACUAGUGAUCCGGCACCGGCAAGUGGAAGCGGUGUCGCUCAACGGAUAAAAGGUACCCCGGGGAUAACAGGCUGAUCUUCCCCAAGAGUCCAUAUCGACGGGAUGGUUUGGCACCUCGAUGUCGGCUCGUCGCAUCCUGGGGCUGGAGUAGGUCCCAAGGGUUGGGCUGUUCGCCCAUUAAAGCGGCACGCGAGCUGGGUUUAGAACGUCGUGAGACAGUUCGGUCUCUAUCCGCCGCGCGCGUCAGAAACUUGAGGAAGGCUGUCCCUAGUACGAGAGGACCGGGACGGACGAACCUCUGGUGUGCCAGUUGUUCCACCAGGAGCACCGCUGGUUAGCUACGUUCGGAAGGGAUAACCGCUGAAAGCAUCUAAGCGGGAAGCCUGUUCCAAGAUGAGGUUUCUCAC